GGUCGCGUAGCUCAGCAGGAUAGAGCACAAAGCCUUCCUAAAAGCUUGUUGUCAGAGGUUCAGAAUCCUCUCGUGAUCGCCA
RNAcentral lists this transfer RNA (82 nucleotides) under Mycoplasmopsis bovis. RNAcentral's name for it is "Mycoplasma bovis tRNA-OTHER". Lineage: Bacteria; Bacillati; Mycoplasmatota; Mycoplasmoidales; Metamycoplasmataceae. The record is from RNAcentral.